RNAcentral lists this ribosomal RNA (610 nucleotides) under uncultured fungus. RNAcentral's name for it is "eukaryotic LSU rRNA". The stretch from base 248 to 401 matches the Rfam family "5.8S ribosomal RNA". Lineage: Eukaryota; Fungi. The record is from RNAcentral.
UGUAGACCAGCCGGAAUUGCAGCCCGUUAGACGGAUGAUUCAAGGAGGGCGCUUCUCCUGCCAGACCCGGCAGGCGUGGAGCCCCAAGUGACUUCCUAUGCAAAUGAAGCUACAUGAAUGGCUGGCAUACCCUAGUUCUGUAACCCUUGUAUAUGAGUACUCCUGUUUCCUCGGCAAGCUUGCUUGCCAAUGGGGACCUUAUCAAACCUUUUUAUGUUGUUGCAACCGUAACCAAACAAAUAAUCAAAACUUUCAACAACGGAUCUCUUGGUUCUGGCAUCGAUGAAGAACGCAGCGAAAUGCGAUAAGUAGUGUGAAUUGCAGAAUUCAGUGAAUCAUCGAAUCUUUGAACGCACAUUGCGCCCUGUGGUAUUCCGCAGGGCAUGCCUGUUCGAGCGUCAUUUAACCCCCUCAAGCUCUGCUUGGUGUUGGGCGUUUGUCCCGCCAUCCUGGUAUGGACUCGCCUCAAAAACAUUGGCAGCCACCUCCCUGGCUUCGAGCGCAGCACCUUUGCGCCCGGUACUUGGGGGUCGUGGCUCCCCAAAAGCACUCCUUUCGGUUGACCUCGGAUCAGGUAGGGAUACCCGCUGAACUUAAGCAUAUCAAUAAG